Molecule: non-coding RNA, 130 nt
Filed under: uncultured Nitzschia
Lineage: Eukaryota; Bacillariophyta; Bacillariophyceae; Bacillariales; Bacillariaceae
Source: RNAcentral
GAAACAGAACAAAGCAAAACAAAACAGAAAAGAGAGAGAGAAAAAUACGCUCGUCAGAAGCAAUAGACAACCAGGCAGCGAUGAUAACCUUUUUCGUUCCUGUUUCUUCCUUUCCUUUUCUUCUGCUUCG